UACGAAGGGGGCUAGCGUUGUUCGGAAUCACUGGGCGUAAAGGGCGCGUAGGCGGCUUUAUAAGUCGGGGGUGAAAGCCUGUGGCUCAUCCACAGAAUUGCCUUCGAUACUGUAGAGCUUGAGACCGGAAGAGGUCAGUGGAACUGCGAGUGUAGAGGUGAAAUUCGUAGAUAUUCGCAAGAACACCAGUGGCGAAGGCGGCUGACUGGUCCGGUUCUGACGCUGAGGCGCGAAAGCGUGGGGAGCAAACAGG
This 253-nucleotide ribosomal RNA is filed under the name uncultured bacterium. RNAcentral describes it as "partial 16S ribosomal RNA". It matches the Rfam family "Bacterial small subunit ribosomal RNA", at positions 524 to 776 of the family's 1533-position model. The record is from RNAcentral.